RNAcentral lists this long non-coding RNA (212 nucleotides) under Fukomys damarensis (Damara mole-rat). RNAcentral describes it as "lncRNA (ENSFDAG00000023847.1)". Lineage: Eukaryota; Metazoa; Chordata; Mammalia; Rodentia; Bathyergidae. The record is from RNAcentral.
UGGCACCGCUGAACUAAAUCCCUGGCCCUGACAAAGCAAGUUUUUAAAAGAAAAGAGAUGCGUGUUCUUCUUCUUAGUAAACCACCCUGAGAUUCGGAGGGGACCCAGUGCAAGAGGAUUUUCUGACGUGAGAGGUGCUUUGCUACUCCCAUCCCACUCUCCACCGUCCACAGUCACACCUUUGGGAACUUGCUCAUCUGACAUCCAGCCCA